UUGUAGCUAAUUAAGCCGACCAUGCUCCUUUCCUCACGGGGUCUGGUGUGCAGUGGCUGCAAACAGCAGCCUCCUUGGUAGUGUAUGCAGCCUGUUGCUUGUAGAGGUUGCAAGAAGGGACCUUGGAGACAUUC
Molecule: small nucleolar RNA, 134 nt
Organism: Otolemur garnettii (small-eared galago)
Lineage: Eukaryota; Metazoa; Chordata; Mammalia; Primates; Galagidae
Gene: SNORA70
Rfam family: Small nucleolar RNA SNORA70
About the family: snoRNA U70 seems to be exclusive to mammals and is a member of the H/ACA class of snoRNA which contain H (ANANNA) and ACA box motifs.
Source: Ensembl